Molecule: long non-coding RNA, 890 nt
Filed under: Coffea arabica (coffee)
Lineage: Eukaryota; Viridiplantae; Streptophyta; Magnoliopsida; Gentianales; Rubiaceae
Description: long non-coding RNA (CARA_LNC002885)
Source: RNAcentral
AUGUACUAAAAGGCCUAUUACUUGAUGUUGCUCGAGGGAAAGCUGGAGCAACCAUUGCAGGCAACCAACCCAAGCCAUUAGGUGUUAUUUGUGUUCUGCUUGAUGUAAAGUUUUCCUGCUAAUCUGCUGUUGUACAAUAGUAUUUACUUUUCAUGGUAGGCUGUAUGCUGCUGGUUUUUCUGCUUCCAAACACAUAUAAUAAUAUAUGUUCAUAUUUAUUAGGAGUAUGACAGAAAAGACACACCUAGGUUUUAGCCAUAAAAUAUGUACAGAAACCAAAAUGAUUUGAAUAAAUUUAUUCUGGCUUCUGUUUUCCACCAUUCCCACUCUUCCACCCUAUUCCUUGCCAUUUUUGUUUGUUUGGUUGGUUUUGCAGAUGUGCAAGCUAGUUGUGCUUCUUGUAUCUUUUUUUUUUUUCUUUGGGGUGGAUGCUUGAAGCAAGAGUGAUCUUCACAUUUGGGAGCAUGAAACUAUGAAAAGAAUUCAAGUCUUCCUUUGCUUAGUUGACCAUGGUGUCCUUUUGCAAUCAAAAGAAUGUAUAGCAUGGUUUUCUUGGGGAUCAAUUGAAGUUUUAUCAAUUUUAUAAGAAAAUUACCAGAUUAGUUCUCUUUCAUUUGAAAAGUAUCUCUAAUUUUGAGCAAGUUUCAGUAUACGAAUUCUGGUCCCUUAUUCAUAUAACCUUGACAAAUAAUAAGAUGGAUGACAGAAAAGACACACCUAGGUUUUAGCCAUAAAAUAUGUACAGAAACCAAAAUGAUUUGAAUAAAUUUAUUCUGGCUUCUGUUUUCCACCAUUCCCACUCUUCCACCCUAUUCCUUGCCAUUUUUGUUUGUUUGGUUGGUUUUGCAGAUGUGCAAGCUAGUUGUGCUUCUUGUAUCUUUUUUUUUUUU